Phacochoerus africanus (Common warthog) is the source of this 1028-nucleotide long non-coding RNA. RefSeq lists it as uncharacterized. The transcript is spliced from 3 exons. Lineage: Eukaryota; Metazoa; Chordata; Mammalia; Artiodactyla; Suidae. The record is from RefSeq and is a predicted model, not a curated record.
UCCUCCUCUGUGCGCGUGCGCGUCUCUAGGGGCGUGCGUGGGCGGGCAGAGCUGAGGGAGAGGCUGCGGUCUUGGAGGUUUUGAGUUCGAGUCCCACCUCUUCUGGAGUGUAGGCGGCAUGCGGUGGGGUGGGGCAGCAAGUGAGGAAUUUCGAUGCAGAAAAUGAGUCUGCAGGAGAAGGGCCUUACUGAAGUCCCCAAAGCCAGGAAGCAUCAGGGCCUGGAUUCAAACCCAAGCUCGUUUCACUCUAGGGUGAGCCCACAUUUUUUCCCUGGCAACAGGCAACCUGCCUAGCGACCAUCGUAAUGAACUGGACCAGUGCCGGCGAUGUUUGUUCUCCAUGGAGACGGCAAUACUGGCGAUGUUGGUUCUACAGGAGAGGCGUGGGCAGUUAAAACAGAAUCCUUGGGGAGGAAGAGGAGCCCCCUGACACUAUGAUUUAUAAUAAAUAUGUAUGUGGUCUUUGUCCCCAGUCUGGCAGAGCGCUCCUUAAAACCCCUGGAGAACUUCCUCUGAUGAGACCAAUAACGGUAUCUUUUGUUAUGUUAAUGAGGUGGCUUUGGAAAGCACCUAGGCAACCUAAGGAUAGGGGCUGGGUGCCAGGGACCCAACCCUGCGAUUAGAGGGUUGGAACUUCCAGUCCCAUCCCUCAGACUCCUGGGAGGGGAAGGGGGUUGGAGGUUGAAUCAAUCACCAGUAGUCAAUGAUUUACUUAAACAUAAUCAUGUAACGAAGCCUCCAUAAAAAAACCCAAAAGGACAGGGCUUGGUGAGCUUCCAGAUGGGUGGAAGAUUUGGGGGGUGCCCAAGGGGGGUGUGGAAGCUCCCUGCCCCUUCCCCAUAUCUUGCCCUCUGCAUCUCUUGCAUCCAGCUGUCCCUGAGUUACAUCCUUUUAUAAUAAACCAGAGAUCUAGUCAGUAAAACGCAUCUCUGAAUUUUGUGAGCCACUCAUCAAACCCAAGGAAGGGGCCGUUGGAUCUGUAGCCAGUUGGUCAGAAGCACAGGUAACAGCCUGGACUUGAAAUCGGC